Mus musculus (house mouse) is the source of this 1202-nucleotide long non-coding RNA. RefSeq annotates it as predicted gene 43837. NCBI's taxonomy places the organism in Eukaryota, Metazoa, Chordata, Mammalia, Rodentia, Muridae. The transcript is spliced from 3 exons. The record is from RefSeq and is a predicted model, not a curated record.
UGUUUCUGGAGAUUGCCAUUAGCCAAGCUGUCUGGUUCGUGGGCAUGCAAUUGCCACCCCCUCCUGUGUGCCUGCUUGUUUCUAUGGGUCCCUGUGACCUCUUCUUCAACAGCAGCGGCCGGAAGAACAACAGCUGCUGUUCAUAAACAUUGCUUUACACCUCCUGUCAACCAUUGGAAUUUGUCGCUGCUUUGUUUUGAGUCUGGAACCCCAGCCCAUGAAACGUACUGCGCCAAUGGAUUGUCCUACCUGGGAUGGCAUCGUGCUCUCGGAUGCACUAGUAUCUGAUUUCCUCUCUGUAUCGGCUGCUUUCGUAUUCAACCAAAGGAUCUGACAGAAACAGCCUAAGAAGGAAAGUUUAUUUCGACUCCUGGUUUCAGAGUGGGGCAGACAUGUGAGAGCCCACCGCAGCCGGAGCAUGUGAUGGAAGACCCUUCACGUCACAGUGGGCCAGGGCUAGAGGCUGGGCUAUCUUCUGAGGUCUGACUUAAAUGACCUCCUUCCGCUAGCAAAGCUCCACUUCCCAUUCCACAGCCUCCCAGGAUAGAACCACCACAUGGGGAAUGAGCUCUCAAAGCCUGAGCCUGUGGGGGCACUUCAGAGUCAAGCCGCAAUAUUCUACCACUGGACCCAAAGGCUCGUGGGCAUCUCGUGACUAGAGCUGCAUCGUGUCUAAUUUUAAGAAUUCCUGUAGUCUUAAUAGUCUCAACGUUGUUCCAGAGUCCAGUGUCUCUUCUGAGGCCCAAGAGAAAACUCCGGGCUGUGAGCCAUUCAAUCAAAACUGAAAUGGCGUAUAAGAGGACAUAGGCUGAAUGCUGCCAUUCUAAAAGAAACAAGAGGGCAGCAAAAAAAGAUAGGAUCAAAGCAAGACUGAAACCUGGCAUGAUGACCAUUAAAUCCUGUAGUUUCUCAGGCAGCAUCAGGCACACGCAGCCCUGAGUGCACACACACUUGUACAGUGUCAGACACACAUAGCCCCUAGGCAUACGCAGCUUCUGAGAGCCCACUUUGUUGUACCAAAGAAAAUACUUCUAGUCAGUGCUUUUCUAGGAGGGCUUUAAAACUUUCUUUAAAAUUGUUUUUAUCCAUACAUUUCGAUCAUACAUUUUCCUUUCCCCCAACUUCUCCCAUCUCCUCCCCAUCUCCCUACUCUACACAGCUUCACGUCUUUUCUCUCAUAAGAAAAAGAAAAAUGAAAGAGA